GAUGAACGCUGGCGGCGUGCUUAACACAUGCAAGUCGAACGAUGAAGCCCAGCUUGCUGGGUGGAUUAGUGGCGAACGGGUGAGUAACACGUGAGUAACCUGCCCUUAACUCUGGGAUAAGCCUGGGAAACUGGGUCUAAUACCGGAUAGGAGCGUCCACCGCAUGGUGGGUGUUGGAGAGAUUUAUCUGUUUUGGAUGGACUCGCGGCUUAUCAGCUUGUUGGUGAGGUAAUGGCUCACCAAGGCGACGACGGGUAGCCGGCCUGAGAGGGUGACCGGCCACACUGGGACUGAGAUACGGCCCAGACUCCUACGGUAGGCAACAGUGGGGAAUAUUACACAAUGGGCGCAAGCCUGAUGCAGCGACGCCGCGUGAGGGAUGACGGCCUUCGGGUUGUAAACCUCAUUCAUUAGGUAAGAAGCGAAAGUGACGGUACCUGCAGAAUAAGCACCGGCUAACUACGUG
This 466-nucleotide ribosomal RNA is filed under the name uncultured bacterium. Its description in RNAcentral is "partial 16S ribosomal RNA". It matches the Rfam family "Bacterial small subunit ribosomal RNA", at positions 28 to 507 of the family's 1533-position model. The record is from RNAcentral.